GCAGCGCCGCCAUCUUGGUUGCGGGCAGCGCGGCGGGUCCCGGGACGGGCCCCGCGGCCCGGGGGGCUCCGGAGCCGCUGAGGGGCAGCCCCGCCGCUCGGCGGAGCAGGACGGCGGCUGCUCGUGGCGGGGCCGGGCUGUGGCCUGUGUUUGUGUCUGUCCCCGUCCCGCUCUCACCGCCCUCUGCACCGCCUGGAUGGGGUGGUGCGACCCCCCCGGCCCUGGGUGACUCUCCGGAGAGCGGAGCUCCCUUCCGGGGCCGUGUGGCAGGCCCCGGCCCCGCAGCAGCUCGCUGGGCUUUGCUGAGGGCUGGUUCCCUCUGCACAGCUGGCAGAAAGGGCUGGACUUCCCUUCCUGGGGGAGGGAGGCACCGGCUGCCGCGGGAAAACCGUCCGCGUGGAUCUGCGAAGGCCCUCCCAAUUAAAGGAGUGCUCUGGGGGCUGCUGCAGGUCUGUGGCAUUGCCCUUGCCCUGGCACUUGUCCCCAGGCUGCCGAUGGCACUAGAGGAUGAUUGGAAGGAUGGAGCUGUCAGAGGGACAGGGAUUGAGGUGAGCAAGCCCCGGGUGUGGUGGCAGGUGGGGAAAGCUGGGGCAGAAAGACCCACCAGCCUUCCUGGACCUGCACUGUCUCCUUGGUGGAGAACUUCUGGCCCAGCUUACCCCUGUUUUGCCCCUUCCCCAGGGAAGGGCUGCUGGUUUGUUUCUAGUUACCAAACUGGACAGCAUCAGCUCCCUGCUGCCAUGUCCCCAAAAUCCCAUUGCACCAGGCAGCUGUUCCCAUGCAGCUGCAGAUCUUCCAGGUCCAUAUGCUCUAGCUGCAGUCAGGAAUCUCAAGCAAAAGACUGUUCCCCAACAUAAAAGAUUUAUUUUACUUCAUAAAAGAUUUAUUUUAAAAUUGGAAAUCCAUAACAUUUUUUUUUGGGAAGAGGCAGAAUUUUGGGGUCUGUCUGUGGGCCAGCUCCUGGGCAGUUUGUUCCUAGAGAGUGAACCAUUCUGGUUCCUCUAACCUGUUCUCCCAUAACUGACUGCACAGAUGAGAUUAAAACCUGGGCUCUGCACCCUGGGCUUGGCAGAGUGGAGCACUGAUCUUAAGAUGUUCCCUGCAUUAAGUGACACUCCCAGAAGCUGAACCCCCACAGCCUGAGAGGUCUGACCAGCAGAAGGAUGUUCAAGAGGCUCAGCAGCUCAUAGCACCAGCUCAGCCUGCUGUGGAAGUCCUUGCUGAGUGAAAGGAAUGUUCAAAACCAUCAGUGGCACCGUGGUCUCCUUUGGAGAGGCUCAAGGCUUGGAGAAGGAAAAGCAGAAGAAGUGUGUGCUCUGCAGCAGGUAUGACCUCUGCCCAAAUGGGAAGGUGUGUGCUGGAAGGCCCCGUGGUGCUGCAGAGGGGCCUCUUACCUGAUGAAGAUGAAGAUGGCUUUGCGGUAGUUGGUCCCGUACACAACCCAGGAGGGUCCCAGGAAUGGGAGGAUCACAUCAAUCAGGCCUGGGUGCAUCUUGUCCAUCUCAUCAAAGAGAAAGGCUGACCUUCCACAGUUGGUCAAGUUCCCUUGGAUCCAGCUCUUCAGGCUUUCCUAGGAGAAGUAAGGGCUGUGUAAAUAUUUAAGGAAUGAGAACAUGCUCAUGGCCAGGACUGCUGCAGGGAAGAGAAGAGUGAUAACUGAGUGCCAGAGCACAUGGUGGUUACCAGUGGAUCCUUCAGCCAGUGUGUGGAGCCACUCACUCAGCUGUGCUCCUCUGAGAGGCUAAAACAAUGAGCUUUUAUUCCUUCUGCACUUCAGGAAACAGCCUGAAUGUGUAUGUAGAGGGGAUCAAGAUGGAAAGAACCAACCCCCCCGAACCAAGCCGUACUUGUGCAGAGGGGUGUCCCUUACCUUGUAC
Molecule: long non-coding RNA, 1877 nt
Organism: Apus apus (common swift)
Lineage: Eukaryota; Metazoa; Chordata; Aves; Apodiformes; Apodidae
Exons: 4
Source: RefSeq, a predicted model, not a curated record